AUACCCCAUCAUCUCUGAAGAAAGCCAAGAUACUUAGCUCUAGACUAUGGUCAGCAUUAAGAAAGAACAGGUGCUCCCCCAGGCCAGGCAGAGAAUGUCAGGAAACAGGAAAAGUCAAUCCCAGUGCUAGACAUGGUGAUGGGAGGCACCACAGUGAAGGCUGCCAAAAUUCAAAGGUGUCUGAGCUUAGCUGAGCUCCUGAGAUUGCUGAGGGCAAUGCUGAUUGCCUGCAUAAGCAGUGGGGCCCAUCCUGAACCAAGCUGCAGAACUACCCUUGUGUAGAGCAGGUCACUCAAAAGGUCCAUGUCCUGGGAGACAAAAGAAUUGAAAAGGCAACUUUAUCAGCUGUCCCUAACUAUAACACCACCAUCAUGGGCAGAGUGCCCACUGUGAUAUCUGCAGGAGAUCUCACUAUUGGCUAUUCCUCUCAUCAGGAUAGGCUUCCAGACAAGUUCCCACAGAUGGAUUUACACAUUUUCUUACCAUUUUGGAGGCUCUUUUUUUUGAAUGAAGAACAUUUCAGAAACCAUCAGCAUUUUAACUUCAAGUUGCCAGGUAUUAGUAUCUGUCUGUUGGGCUUUUCUCCUAACGGUGCCAAAAUACAGUAAGUGCGUUAAAAGUGUAAAUCGUGUUUCUCUACUCCAAAUGGUAAAGGAGGAAAUACAGAAUAAAUUGAGGAAGAGGGGCUGUGUCAGAAAAUGGAAAAAAGUGAAGGAAGUGUGUUUAACAUACUACAAGUCAAAGAGAAGUGCAAUAAGCCCAGAAAAGUGUUGAGGGUACUGCCUUGGAGGGACCUUUCUCUAUGGAAGCUUGUGCAAAACUGUGGAAAUCAGCCAUGAAAUGUUCUGCCAGCAAAUGGUCACCUGAGGCACCAUUCAUGACCUGCAUCCUACAAGGAAUAAGAACUUGCAUGAACUCACAAUCAGUAUUGGAUAGUAGAUGAACAGCAAAUGCGUUCCCUGCAGGACACAAUCAGCAAUAGCUUAGAGAUAGCAUAGACGAUGAACUGUCAAAGAACCAAAGCCAGAGUUCACUUGAUUAAAGCAAAGUAUGUGUGUA
Long non-coding RNA from Pezoporus flaviventris, 1059 nucleotides. RefSeq lists it as uncharacterized. Lineage: Eukaryota; Metazoa; Chordata; Aves; Psittaciformes; Psittacidae. The transcript has 2 exons. The record is from RefSeq and is a predicted model, not a curated record.